UCGGCCAUAUUGGUUAACAGAUCCUCACUUGCUGGACGGCUGGCGAUGAUCUUUAUCGGUUGUCGUCAGUUGCCAGAACGUUUACUUUGAGAAAAUUAGAGUGCUAAAAGCAGGCUCACGCCUAUAUAUUGCAUGGAAUAAUGAAAUAAGAUCUCGAUUUUAUUUCGUUGGUUUUAGAAAUUGAGAUAAUGAUUAAUAGGGAUUCAGAGGGGGGCGUACGUACUGUGGUGUGAGAGGUGAAAAUUCUUGGAUCGCCACAGGACGAACAGCAGCGAAGGCGUUCGCCAAGAAUGUUUUCAUUAAAUCAAGAACGAAAGUUUGAGGUUCGAAGACGAUUAGAUACCGUCCUAGUUCAAACCAUAAAACGUUGCCAACUGUCUUUUAGAUGCGGUUACUCAUAUGACUCAUCUGGCGGAUCUCGAGAAAUCUAAGUUUUUAGGUUCC
This 444-nucleotide ribosomal RNA is filed under the name uncultured eukaryote. RNAcentral describes it as "SSU rRNA". It matches the Rfam family "Eukaryotic small subunit ribosomal RNA", at positions 672 to 1115 of the family's 1831-position model. The record is from RNAcentral.